Molecule: long non-coding RNA, 436 nt
Filed under: Monodelphis domestica (gray short-tailed opossum)
Lineage: Eukaryota; Metazoa; Chordata; Mammalia; Didelphimorphia; Didelphidae
Description: lncRNA (ENSMODG00000030646.2)
Source: RNAcentral
AUGCUUAGUUUGACUGUACCCAACAAUCCCACAGGGGAAAUAUGUCCUCUUUCUGAUUGGCCUGACUUGGUGGAUAUUUCAAAAGUGAAGUUGGACUUAGACUUAGUUGGAUUACUCCGACAUUGCGUCACCACUGAAGAGAAGGAUCUUCACCCAGCAAUCAAAAGGCAACCAAAGACAAGAGACAGAGAACAUCUACAUGUUCCAAAGAGAGAAAGCUUGUCUGGAAUGACCAAAGGGUAGACUCUUUGAAGGGCUACUACCAUGGGAAUUGAAUUAAUAUUGUAGAAGGGAUUCAUACUUUUGGAACGAGUUGGUCAGUAUAAUUUGAUUUAGUGUCCUAGAUCCAUGGUAAAGAAAGACCUGAAUUUGAAUGCCACCUUUGACAUAUAAUUACAAAAAAAUUACUUUACUUUUUUGUCUUAGUUUCUUUCUG